GUUAAACUUUCUUUUAUUUGGAAGAAACCACUUUUCUAAGGUGGUUGACGGUACCAGAUGAAUAAGCACCGGCUAACUCCGUGC
RNAcentral lists this ribosomal RNA (84 nucleotides) under uncultured bacterium. RNAcentral describes it as "partial 16S ribosomal RNA". The record is from RNAcentral.